GAAUCUUCCACAAUGGACGAAAGUCUGAUGGAGCAACUCCGCGUGCAGGAUGAAGGCCCUAGGGUUGUAAAGCUCUUUCAACGGUGAAGAUAAUGACGGUAACCGUAGAAGAAGCCCCGGCUAACUUCGUGCCAGCAGCCGCGGUAAUACGAAGGGGGCUAGCGUUGUUCGGAAUUACUGGGCGUAAAGCGCACGUAGGCGGAUAUUUAAGUCAGGGGUGAAAUCCCGAGGCUCAACCUCGGAACUGCCUUUGAUACUGGGUAUCUUGAGUCCGGAAGAGGUGAGUGGAAUUCCGAGUGUAGAGGUGAAAUUCGUAGAUAUUCGGAGGAACACCAGUGGCGAAGGCGGCUCACUGGUCCGGAACUGACGCUGAGGUGCGAAAGCGUGGGGAGCAAA
Molecule: ribosomal RNA, 396 nt
Filed under: uncultured bacterium
Lineage: Bacteria
Description: bacterial SSU rRNA
Rfam family: Bacterial small subunit ribosomal RNA
Source: RNAcentral